This is a non-coding RNA of Cinara cedri, 207 nucleotides long. The record is from the annotation of a GenBank genome assembly. Lineage: Eukaryota; Metazoa; Arthropoda; Insecta; Hemiptera; Aphididae.
ACUUCGGGUAAUAAUCAUUUUCUUUUCAAACGGUAAAAAAAAAAAAACCCAGUUGAGCUGCAGCCGGUAUUAAAUCUAGGACAUUUUUCUUGGACGGGCCCACAUUUUAUGUAUUGUUAGAUUGAAAUUAUUUUAAUCUAAGACUAAACAAGUAUUGUACAUUUCAUAAAUACAUUUGGUUGAUAGUUUUAUUUGUCAGUGGGGAGG